GGGCCGGUAGUUAAACCUGGCAUAAUGCGCCCAUGGCAUGGGUGAGGCUCCGAGUUCAAAUUGCGGAAAGCGGGCAGCGCUUCGCAUUGCAAGUCUCGGCCGGUCCA
RNAcentral lists this transfer RNA (107 nucleotides) under Candidatus Woesearchaeota archaeon. RNAcentral describes it as "tRNA-Ala". The record is from RNAcentral. Lineage: Archaea; Nanobdellati; Candidatus Woesearchaeota.